Long non-coding RNA from Grammomys surdaster, 488 nucleotides. RefSeq lists it as uncharacterized. The record is from RefSeq and is a predicted model, not a curated record. NCBI's taxonomy places the organism in Eukaryota, Metazoa, Chordata, Mammalia, Rodentia, Muridae. The transcript has 3 exons.
GACUAGCCUUUUGGUUGGGACUGGUCCUAAUCUCCCAGGCCUAAAAUGAUGUGAAUGUGGAGAUAUCCAGUAACAUCCUUGAAACAUUGUGUGCCUAAGUAGAGUAGGACCUCAUGAUGGAAUAUACAGUGACACAGAACAGAAGGAGGGUAACAGAGCCAUUUGGAGGGACAAGAAUGUUAGACAUGUUAAAAAACAAACGAACAAACAUGUGCUGAGAAAUGAGAGAAGGAUUCUUGAGGAAACUAGAAGAGAAAAAGUGCUUCAGAAUGGUACAAGAAAACACAUAAAGAGGAAGAUGAUGAUGAUCAAGAAGAUGGUGGUAGUAGCAUCCGGCACAUAGCAUUUAUAAGAAUAAUGACCAUCCAAGCAUGGAUUAUUAUAGUCGCCAAUGGAAGAGUGAAUCUGAUAGUGAGGUGAAUCAGAAGAAAAGCUAUAACUCACACUGGCAAAUGAUGUAGAUAUCUGGAAGAGGAAAUAGAUGGAAG